AUGGACAAGAUCCUGACAGCAACGUUUUUACUCCUAGGCCUUCACCUAGCUGGGGUGAAUGGCCAGCAGCAGGAGAAACGUGACCAGCAGCAGGUGAGACAAAGUCCCCAAUCUCUGACAGUCUGGGAAGGAGAGACCGCAAUUCUGAACUGCAGUUAUGAGGACAGCACUUUUAACUACUUCCCAUGGUACCAGCAGUUCCCUGGGGAAGGCCCUGCACUCCUGAUAUCCAUACGUUCAGUGUCCGAUAAAAAGGAAGAUGGACGAUUCACAAUCUUCUUCAAUAAAAGGGAGAAAAAGCUCUCCUUGCACAUCACAGACUCUCAGCCUGGAGACUCAGCUACCUACUUCUGUGCAGCAAGUG
Molecule: non-coding RNA, 364 nt
Organism: Mus musculus (house mouse)
Lineage: Eukaryota; Metazoa; Chordata; Mammalia; Rodentia; Muridae
Source: the annotation of a RefSeq genome assembly